GCGGAUGGGUGAGUAACACGUGGGUAACCUGCCCUAAAGUCUGGGAUACCACUUGGAAACAGGUGCUAAUACCGGAUAACAACAAUAGCUGCAUGGCUAUUGCUUAAAAGGCGGCGAAAGCUGUCGCUAAAGGAUGGACCCGCGGUGCAUUAGCUAGUUGGUAAGGUAACGGCUUACCAAGGCGACGAUGCAUAGCCGAGUUGAGAGACUGAUCGGCCACAUUGGGACUGAGACACGGCCCAAACUCCUACGGGAGGCAGCAGUAGGGAAUCUUCCACAAUGGGCGAAAGCCUGAUGGAGCAACGCCGCGUGAGUGAAGAAGGUUUUCGGAUCGUAAAGCUCUGUUGUUGGUGAAGAAGGAUAGAGGUAGUAACUGGCCCCUAUUUGACGGUAAUCAACCAGAAAGUCACGGCUAACUACGUGCCAGCAGCCGCGGUAAUACGUAGGUGGCAAGCGUUGUCCGGAUUUAUUGGGCGUAAAGCGAGCGCAGGCGGAAAGAUAAGUCUGAUGUGAAAGCCCCCGGCUUAACCGAGGAAUUGCAUCGGAAACUG
Molecule: ribosomal RNA, 551 nt
Filed under: Lactobacillus intestinalis
Lineage: Bacteria; Bacillati; Bacillota; Bacilli; Lactobacillales; Lactobacillaceae
Description: bacterial SSU rRNA
Rfam family: Bacterial small subunit ribosomal RNA
Source: RNAcentral